Non-coding RNA from Potamilus streckersoni, 75 nucleotides. NCBI's taxonomy places the organism in Eukaryota, Metazoa, Mollusca, Bivalvia, Unionida, Unionidae. The record is from the annotation of a GenBank genome assembly.
UCUUCAGUGGCCUAGUGGUUAGAGCGUCCGCCUCGGAUGCUAGAGGUCGCGGAUUCGAUCCCCGCCUGAGUCAAA